RNAcentral lists this ribosomal RNA (308 nucleotides) under uncultured Desulfitobacterium sp. RNAcentral describes it as "bacterial SSU rRNA". It matches the Rfam family "Bacterial small subunit ribosomal RNA", at positions 410 to 707 of the family's 1533-position model. The record is from RNAcentral. Lineage: Bacteria; Bacillati; Bacillota; Clostridia; Eubacteriales; Desulfitobacteriaceae.
GAAAGCCUUCGGGUUGUAAAACUCUGUCUUCAGGGACGAAUGCUCUCUUUGCUAAGAGUGAAGAGAAAUGACGGUACCUGAGGAGGAAGCCCCGGCUAACUACGUGCCAGCAGCCGCGGUAAUACGUAGGGGGCAAGCGUUGUCCGGAAUCAUUGGGCGUAAAGGGCGCGUAGGCGGAUAUCUAAGUCAGGUGUGAAAACCUAGGGCUCAACCCUGGGAGUGCAUCUGAAACUGGGUAUCUUGAGUUCAGGAGAGGAAAGUGGAAUCCCCCGUGUAGCGGUGAAAUGCGUAACUGGAUGUGAGAGAAC